GACAGGCUUCGAUCUAAUGUAAUUCAUUUAUCUUUGUAUUUCUUUCUUUUUUUUUUUUCUACGAAUCCACUUCCAUGAAAUCUUCUCUCUAAAGCUAAAUAUAAUUUAUUCGAGAAAGGACUUGGAAAAAAAGUUGGAAAGAAACGUUUUCUGCCAGAAAACUAAACUAUCCUUUGCGUGGACGCGAUCCAACAAUAGCAUGCAGUUUCAACUAUUGAUCCGGAAGAAUAAAAUAUUUUGGCAAACUGUUAUUCCAAGAAAAUAAUGUCACUGGGUUAGUAAGUGGAUUACCAGUUUCUUAUAGAGGAGAAGUAAACCGAAGCACGUGAUUUAUAGGUUUACGAGGAAAUCGAUGGGAGUUCAAUCGAUACGGUUCUCGGGUUAUUUUAGUUCUUCUAUAGGUAUCGCAAGAUAUUCAUUCAAAGAGCCGUCGAUCGAUUGUUCUUUUGACUUCAUGUGAACCUUCACCUACAAGGUGUGGCCAUAACUUUAAGGUUAUCUUAUCAGAAAAGGAAAUUCAGAACGGAUAUUAUUAGCCUGCACGCGACGAAUCCUUAAUCGCCACUGCAUUUAUCAUUAACAAUUGCCAUUUGUUGGAUUGUUUCGUAUUUACAAAUUUUAAAAAGAAUAUGAGUACAGGAUGAUUCAGGAAUGCCUAAGGCUAGUGAUCGAGGGGAGUCACCAUGACGACCGACAUGGUCGAUUCCAACGUCUCUCGUCCACCAGAAGAAAAUAAACAAGCGAGAUCCAAGGAUAUUUUUUCAAAUAUCAUCGAUGAUCGAUCGAAGAGAAAUUCAAAUAAUUAAAUAAAAUAGAUAACGAGAACGGAAUGUAAGAUUCUGUGUCUUUCAAUUACUCAAUUUGCCUAAUUUGAGAUUUCAUAUUUCUAUGUUUACCUUCUUUCUCUAUGACACUUGCUCGCUAAAAAUUUCAUUUCGAUCGACCACGUGUACCAUUCUCAAGUUCAACCAAGAUUCUGCAUUGUUAUCAUUCAUUUUUUCGAUUAAUAACGUUUAUUUUCGAUUAAUGUAAUACCUUUUCAAAAAUUUAUAAUUUUUUUUUACGUCGAUAAAAUCGAUUUAUUCACUUGACAACGAUACGAUUAUAAAUUGUUGUGAACGAGCAAAUUCUAACCUGCAAUAUUAUCAUUGCAAAAAAUAUCAUAUAAUAAAUAUAUAAUGUUAAUAUUUA
Molecule: long non-coding RNA, 1191 nt
Organism: Apis cerana (Asiatic honeybee)
Lineage: Eukaryota; Metazoa; Arthropoda; Insecta; Hymenoptera; Apidae
Source: RefSeq, a predicted model, not a curated record